CUUGUGCCUCUUCAACAGGUCCACAAGAAGUGACAAUGCCCCAGUGUCAACUAUGAGUUGCUGAUGCUCUGGCUUCACAGCAAGCAGUCCUAGAGCAAAAGCACUCCCCUUCUCCACCUCGUGCUCAAACGGCUUUGGAUUACGGUCAGCUUCACUUGACUGCGGCGCUUGAAGAUGCUUUACCAGAGCUGGAACUGCACCUCCUUCAACAAUUACGUUCACUAAUUCCUCGUUUUUGGCGAACUCUGCAAGGACGUGAGUGGCGCGUUUGGCAGCUGCCCGAUCGGCCUCGUUCCAAGAGAAGGUCGAGUUAAGGAUAUUUACCUGAGCAGCCACCUCGUAUAAAAGCGCUUGCCGCGCAUCGCCGAAGGGGACCGCCGGCGAGAUCUCUUGCCGCUCCUCUUCAAUCUCUUCCUCCAAUUUCCGCUUCUGUCCCUUCCUCUCCGGGAGACCACGAUCUUGGCUCCUCUCCGGCUC
Molecule: unclassified non-coding RNA, 477 nt
Filed under: Hevea brasiliensis (rubber tree)
Lineage: Eukaryota; Viridiplantae; Streptophyta; Magnoliopsida; Malpighiales; Euphorbiaceae
Source: RNAcentral